UACGUAGGGGGCGAGCGUUGUCCGGAGUUACUGGGCGUAAAGCGCACGCAGGCGGUGCUGCGCGUUUGGGGUUAGCAGCUCCCGGCUCAACCGGGAGAGCGCCUCGAAGACGGCAGCACUUGAGGGCCAGAGAGGGACACGGAACUCCGGGUGGAGUGGUGAAAUGCGUAGAUAUCCGGAAGAACACCAAAGGCGAAGGCAGUGUCCUGGCUGGUACCUGACGCUCAGGUGCGAAAGCUAGGGGAGCGAACGGG
Molecule: ribosomal RNA, 254 nt
Filed under: uncultured bacterium
Lineage: Bacteria
Description: partial 16S ribosomal RNA
Rfam family: Bacterial small subunit ribosomal RNA
Source: RNAcentral